This 684-nucleotide ribosomal RNA is filed under the name uncultured Acidobacteriota bacterium. Its description in RNAcentral is "bacterial SSU rRNA". It matches the Rfam family "Bacterial small subunit ribosomal RNA", at positions 32 to 746 of the family's 1533-position model. Lineage: Bacteria; Pseudomonadati; Acidobacteriota. The record is from RNAcentral.
AACGCUGGCGGCGCGCCUAACACAUGCAAGUCGCACGAGAAAGCGGGAGCAAUCUCGCAAGUACAGUGGCGUACGGGUGAGUAACACGUGGAUCAUCUGCCCUGGAGUGGGGAAUAACGCUGGGAAACCGGCGCUAAUACCGCAUAUUCCCGAGAGGGGAAAGCAGCAAUGCGCUCGAGGAGGAGUCCGCGGCCGAUUAGCUAGUUGGUAGGGUAAAAGCCUACCAAGGCUGUGAUCGGUAGCCGGCCUGAGAGGGCACACGGCCACACUGGCACUGAAACACGGGCCAGACUCCUACGGGAGGCAGCAGUGGGGAAUCUUGCACAAUGGGGGAAACCCUGAUGCAGCGACGCCGCGUGAGCGAUGAAGCCCUUCGGGGUGUAAAGCUCUUUCGGCAGGGAAGAUUAUGACGGUACCUGCAGAAGCAGCUGCGGCUAACUACGUGCCAGCAGCCGCGGUAAUACGUAGGCAGCAAGCGUUGUUCGGAGUUACUGGGCGUAAAGGGUGUGUAGGCGGCCUGUUAAGUUCCGUGUGAAAUCUCCCGGCUCAACCGGGAGGGUGCGCGGAAAACUGGCGGGCUAGAGUGUGGGAUGGGAGAGUAGAAUUCCUGGUGUAGCGGUGAAAUGCGUAGAUAUCAGGAGGAAUACCGGUGGUGUAGACGGCUCUCUGGACCGCAACUGACGC